GUGGCUGGGGGUGAAAGGCCAAUCAAACCGGGAGAUAGCUGGUUCUCCCCGAAAGCUAUUUAGGUAGCGCCUCGUGAAUUCAUCUCCGGGGGUAGAGCACUGUUUCGGCUAGGGGGCCAUCCCGGCUUACCAACCCGAUGCAAACUGCGAAUACCGGAGAAUGUUAUCACGGGAGACACACGGCGGGUGCUAACGUCCGUCGUGAAGAGGGAAACAACCCAGACCGCCAGCUAAGGUCCCAAAGUCAUGGUUAAGUGGGAAACGAUGUGGGAAGGCCCAGACAGCCAGGAUGUUGGCUUAGAAGCAGCCAUCAUUUAAAGAAAGCGUAAUAGCUCACUGGUCGAGUCGGCCUGCGCGGAAGAUGUAACGGGGCUAAACCAU
RNAcentral lists this ribosomal RNA (381 nucleotides) under Salmonella enterica subsp. enterica serovar Oranienburg. Its description in RNAcentral is "partial 23S ribosomal RNA". It matches the Rfam family "Bacterial large subunit ribosomal RNA", at positions 811 to 1190 of the family's 2925-position model. RNAcentral also lists the same sequence under 6 other names. Lineage: Bacteria; Pseudomonadati; Pseudomonadota; Gammaproteobacteria; Enterobacterales; Enterobacteriaceae. The record is from RNAcentral.